GGAACCCAGCACGAUGUUGGGGGAAAGGACAGCACUUGGAAUCAGAAGACCUCUCCCUGUCUGCAUCCUACUCUGUCACUGGUGCGCAUCUACAAAGGAGCCAUUUAACCAUUUUGAACCUGUCUGCACAUUGCCAAAAUGGAGAUCAUCUGCCUAAUUCAUCUCAGAGGAUUGUUGUGAGAAUUACAAGAAAAAGCACGCAAGGCCCAGCCUGGGGCACACCGGGCCUCUUCCCUGUCAUACUCUGGAUGGAAUUUCUCCUGUGGCUUGUCCAGGCAGAGGCGGUCAGUGACCUGAUGACGCUCUACCCCUCCCCUAUUCCAACACGUGUUCGACUCUGAGAUCGAGGUUGGGAUGUGUCUGGAUCUAAUUCAGUCAAUGCACGAGUAACCAGCCAUCGUCCUGUUCUACUUUGUAAGUGCGAUUUAUUUCUUCCGUCCAGCCACCUGGGCGGCUCAGUCGGUGAAGCAUCCAACUCUUGCUUUCGG
Molecule: long non-coding RNA, 488 nt
Organism: Suricata suricatta (meerkat)
Lineage: Eukaryota; Metazoa; Chordata; Mammalia; Carnivora; Herpestidae
Exons: 3
Source: RefSeq, a predicted model, not a curated record